UACGUAGGGGGCGAGCGUUGUCCGGAAUUACUGGGCGUAAAGAGCACGUAGGCGGUUCGUUAAGUCGGUUGUGAAAUCUCCUGGCCCAACUAGGAGGGGUCGACCGAGACUGGCGGACUGGAGGGAGGCAGAGGGAAGCGGAAUUCCCGGAGUAGUGGUGAAAUGCGUAGAUACCGGGAGGAACACCAGUGGCGAAGGCGGCUUCCUGGGCUUUUCCUGACGCUGAGGUGCGAAGGCGUGGGGAGCAAACCGG
RNAcentral lists this ribosomal RNA (253 nucleotides) under uncultured bacterium. Its description in RNAcentral is "partial 16S ribosomal RNA". It matches the Rfam family "Bacterial small subunit ribosomal RNA", at positions 524 to 776 of the family's 1533-position model. The record is from RNAcentral.